AGGGAUAGCCCAGAGAAAUUUGGAUUAAUACCUCAUAAUAUUUUUAACUCGCAUGAGUUUUAAAUUAAAACUUCGGUGGUAAAAGAUGGGCAUGCGUUCUAUUAGUUUGUUGGUGAGGUAACGGCUUACCAAGACUACGAUAGAUAGGGGUUCUGAGAGGAUAGUCCCCCACACUGGUACUGAGACACGGACCAGACUCCUACGGGAGGCAGCAGUGAGGAAUAUUGGUCAAUGGUCGAAAGACUGAACCAGCCAUGUCGCGUGAAGGAUGACGGCCCUAUGGGUUGUAAACUUCUUUUUGUAUGGGAAGAAAAGCAGUUACGUGUAAUUGUCUGCCGGUACCAUACGAAUAAGGAUCGGCUAACUCCGUGCCAGCAGCCGCGGUAAUACGGAGGAUUCAAGCGUUAUCCGGAUUUAUUGGGUUUAAAGGGUGCGUAGGCGGCUCUAUAAGUCAGUAGUGAAAUCUCGAAGCUCAACUUCGAACGUGCUAUUGAAACUGUAGAGCUUGAGUACAGACGAGGCAGGCGGAAUGUGUUGUGUAGCGGUGAAAUGCUUAGAUAUAACACAGAACACCGAUAGCGAAGGCAGCUUGCCAGACUGUAACUGACGCUGAGGCACGAAAAGCGUGGGGAGCGAACAGGAUUAGAUACC
Molecule: ribosomal RNA, 651 nt
Filed under: uncultured bacterium
Lineage: Bacteria
Description: bacterial SSU rRNA
Rfam family: Bacterial small subunit ribosomal RNA
Source: RNAcentral